GAUGAACGCUGGCGGCGUGCUUAACACAUGCAAGUCGAACGGGAAAUACUUUAUUGAAACUUCGGUCGAUUUAAUUUAUUUCUAGUGGCGGACGGGUGAGUAACGCGUGGGUAACCUGCCUUAUACUGGGGGAUAACAGCCAGAAAUGACUGCUAAUACCGCAUAAGCGCACAGGACCGCAUGGUUCCGUGUGAAAAACUCCGGUGGUAUAAGAUGGACCCGCGUUGGAUUAGUUAGUUGGCAGGGCAGCGGCCUACCAAGGCGACGAUCCAUAGCCGGCCUGAGAGGGUGAACGGCCACAUUGGGACUGAGACACGGCCCAGACUCCUACGGGAGGCAGCAGUGGGGAAUAUUGCACAAUGGGGGAAACCCUGAUGCAGCGACGCCGCGUGAAGGAAGAAGUAUCUCGGUAUGUAAACUUCUAUCAGCAGGGAAGAUA
Molecule: ribosomal RNA, 439 nt
Filed under: uncultured bacterium
Lineage: Bacteria
Description: bacterial SSU rRNA
Rfam family: Bacterial small subunit ribosomal RNA
Source: RNAcentral